This 500-nucleotide ribosomal RNA is filed under the name uncultured bacterium. RNAcentral describes it as "partial 16S ribosomal RNA". It matches the Rfam family "Bacterial small subunit ribosomal RNA", at positions 29 to 523 of the family's 1533-position model. The record is from RNAcentral.
AACGAACGCUGGCGGCAGGCCUAACACAUGCAAGUCGAGCGGGGAAGGGUAGCUUGCUACCUAACCUAGCGGCGGACGGGUGAGUAAUGCUUAGGAAUCUGCCAUUUAGUGGGGGACAACAUUCCGAAAGGAAUGCUAAUACCGCAUACGUCCUACGGAGAAAGCAGGGGAUCUUCGGACCUUGCGCUAGAUGAUGAGCCUAAGUCGGAUUAGCUAGUUGGUGGGGUAAAGGCCUACCAAGGCGACGAUCUGUAGCGGGUCUGAGAGGAUGAUCCGCCUCACUGGGACUGAGACACGGCCCAGACUCCUACGGGAGGCAGCAGUGGGGAAUAUUGGACAAUGGGCGGAAGCCUGAUCCAGCCAUGCCGCGUGUGUGAAGAAGGCCUUAUGGUUGUAAGGCACUUUAAGCGAGGAGGAGGCUACUUAGAUUAAUACUCUAGGAUAGUGGACGUUACUCGCAGAAUAAGCACCGGCUAACUCUGUGCCAGCCGCCGCGGUAA